RNAcentral lists this ribosomal RNA (514 nucleotides) under uncultured bacterium. Its description in RNAcentral is "bacterial SSU rRNA". It matches the Rfam family "Bacterial small subunit ribosomal RNA", at positions 19 to 518 of the family's 1533-position model. The record is from RNAcentral.
CUGGCUCAGGAUGAACGCUGGCGGCGUGCCUAACACAUGCAAGUCGAACGGAUUUUCUCGCUGACGAGACUUCGGUCAAAUCUUGAGGAAAGUUAGUGGCGGACGGGUGAGUAACGCGUGGGCAACCUGCCUCAUACUGGGGGAUAACAGUUGGAAACGACUGUUAAUACCGCAUAAGCGCACGGUGUCGCAUGACACAGUGUGAAAAACUCCGGUGGUAUGAGAUGGGCCCGCGUCAGAUUAGCUAGUUGGUGAGGUAAAGGCCCACCAAGGCGACGAUCGGUAGCCGGACUGAGAGGUCGGACGGCCACAUUGGGACUGAGACACGGCCCAAACUCCUACGGGAGGCAGCAGUGGGGGAUAUUGCACAAUGGAGGAAACUCUGAUGCAGCGACGCCGCGUGAGUGAAGAAGUAUUUCGGUAUGUAAAGCUCUAUCAGCAGGGAAGAAAGGCUCUUCGGAGAGAUGACGGUACCUGACUAAGAAGCCCCGGCUAACUACGUGCCAGCCGCGGC